UGUAAUGGAAUAUUGUUUUCCUCAAAUAUGCAUCCGGUAUUGUGUUUAUGGGUUUAAAGUAGACACAGAAUUAUAUGGUGUAAAUGGCAUCAUAUUGAUCUGAGAAGGGCAGAGGCCUGAUCAACCGUAUGUUCCUUCGAAACCUGUUUUGUAGGUGGCUCUCAAGCUGAAUGCUAUACUUGGUUAUGGCAACCCUGUGUUAAAUAUUUAUCAAAUUUGUCAGUUUUUCUUGUAUUAGGAUUGCAAAAUUUGGACUGACUUGGAUUUUGGUGAAAUAUAGGAGGGGUAGAUGUAACAAGUGUGUAAAACUGUUUAUAUUUCACCUCAAAUCCAUCUUCAUUACCUGUGUAUAUUUGUUUUUCUUAGUUUUUGAAUUGUAUUUUAUUUUGGCGGAGAAGCUUUUAUUUUCUUGUUUCCUGUCUCCUUGUCAUAUCCUGUGUGUUCGCGCUGCCCUCCUCAGUUCGCGCCAAGCUGCGCUGGGGAGAGGUAAGCGUACAAAGUUGUCUUCUGUUUGUCUGUUGAAGUAUUCAAAAUGUCCUUAAAAGUAUUUUUGCCAAACUCGCAAGUUUUUAUAUGUUGUUCCCCAACUGUUUUAUGUUUAGUGCAGCACUGUACUGGGCACUUAAUUCCCACGUUAAGGACAUUUAUUGAGUUUACCGUGCCAAUGUGGUUAUUUUUGUUCUUUUGAUUUGUUAAGGUGUGUGUGGGAAAGCCAGAGCCCAAGAACUGGAGUGCUGAUGCAUUUUUUGUUUUAAACAGAAUAAAUCUGCCCUACUGCUGCAAUAUACCCUGGUGUCCUCGUCUGCUGGUUCCCUUUGCCUAUACACACAACGCAGAGUACAUGUACAACAGAUGAGUCGGAUAAGUGCGGCUACAUAAGGAAGAACAGAAGUGGAAAACAAGGCAAAAAUAGAAAAAAACUAAGGAAAUGACAAAAAUCCAAAACCAAACCUCAAACAACCCCCGAUCCUGACACUUUGCGCAGUAAGACUCUUAAUUUCAAUAAAGGAUCGGUUUAUAGAUAAAUGGAGGAAUCUAACAUUUGUGUACUUCAGAUCAAACUAUGUUUAGAACCUGGUGACCUACUCAUUUUUAUGUUAAACCACUAGAAUUGUUAUAGAGUGUACUUUGUUAGAAUAAUUAUGUUUUGUUAUCAUUCUUACAUAAGUAGUUACCAGUUUGUUUUUCAUUUAAAGGUUUAGUAUUCACACCCCAGAGAGGAGGAAUUUGUUAAACCGUGUGAAAGACAAAACUUGUCUUUUCCCUAAACCUUGAAGCUGCAGCUGCUUCUUAUCUUGGGAUACUCCUUAAACUGCUUGUGUGUAGAAUGUAGUUCUUCCUUGUUUCAGAAUAGCCAUUGUUUGAUUUAUCACUCCCACAUUUCACUCUUGACUCCAUUCUUUCUCCUGCUUAAUAAAAAGACAGGCUCUGUUGCAGGGAGUCAGAAUGCAUGGUAAACACCUUGGAGAAGUGGUUUGCUAUGUUUUCUCCUUCUGCAGAAGCUUGGUUGAAAACUCA
Molecule: long non-coding RNA, 1518 nt
Organism: Xiphophorus couchianus (Monterrey platyfish)
Lineage: Eukaryota; Metazoa; Chordata; Actinopteri; Cyprinodontiformes; Poeciliidae
Exons: 2
Source: RefSeq, a predicted model, not a curated record